UACGUAGGGUGCGAGCGUUAAUCGGAAUUACUGGGCGUAAAGCGUGCGCAGGCGGUUUUGUAAGCCAGAUGUGAAAUCCCCGGGCUCAACCUGGGAAUGGCAUUUGGGACUGCAAGGCUGGAGUACGGCAGAGGAGACUGGAAUUCCUGGUGUAGCAGUGAAAUGCGUAGAGAUCCGGAAGAACACCGGUGGCGAAGGCGGCCUGCUGGGCUAUGGCUGACACUGAGGCGCGACAGCGUGGGGAGC
RNAcentral lists this ribosomal RNA (246 nucleotides) under uncultured bacterium. RNAcentral's name for it is "partial 16S ribosomal RNA". It matches the Rfam family "Bacterial small subunit ribosomal RNA", at positions 524 to 769 of the family's 1533-position model. The record is from RNAcentral.